AAUGGACGCAAGUCUGACGGAGCGACGCCGCGUGGAGGACGAAGGCCCUUGGGUUGUAAACUCCUGUCACAGGUUAUGAAAAGCGUACGUUAAUAGCGUGCGACCUGACGUAAGCCUGAGAGGAUGCACCGGCUAACUCUGUGCCAGCAGCCGCGGUAAUACAGAGGGUGCAAACGUUGUUCGGAAUCACUGGGCAUAAAGCGCACGUAGGCGGUUCGUAAGUGUGAAGUGAAAGCCCACGGCUCAACCGUGGAACUGCUUUGCAUACUGCAGGACUUGAGGACGGUAGGGGAGAGCGGAACUCCUGGUGGAGCGGUGAAAUGCGUAGAUAUCAGGAGGAACACCGGUGGCGAAGGCGGCUCUCUGGUCCGUUUCUGACGCUGAGGUGCGAAAGCCAGGGUAGCGAACGGGAUU
This 414-nucleotide ribosomal RNA is filed under the name uncultured Gammaproteobacteria bacterium. RNAcentral describes it as "bacterial SSU rRNA". It matches the Rfam family "Bacterial small subunit ribosomal RNA", at positions 370 to 779 of the family's 1533-position model. The record is from RNAcentral. Lineage: Bacteria; Pseudomonadati; Pseudomonadota; Gammaproteobacteria.